GGGUAGAGCACUGUUUCGGCUAGGGGGCCAUCCCGGCUUACCAACCCGAUGCAAACUGCGAAUACCGGAGAAUGUUAUCACGGGAGACACACGGCGGGUGCUAACGUCCGUCGUGAAGAGGGAAACAACCCAGACCGCCAGCUAAGGUCCCAAAGUCAUGGUUAAGUGGGAAACGAUGUGGGAAGGCCCAGACAGCCAGGAUGUUGGCUUAGAAGCAGCCAUCAUUUAAAGAAAGCGUAAUAGCUCACUGGUCGAGUCGGCCUGCGCGGAAGAUGUAACGGGGCUAAACCAUGCACCGAAGCUGCGGCAGCGAACGUAUCACUUAAAGCGAUUCAGCGGGUUACGAUUGACGGAGCGAAGCGACGUCAAAGCGUAUACAAAGUCGAGUCGGUUUAAGGAUACGUUCGUUGGGUAGGGGAGCGUUCUGUAAGCCUGUGAAGGUGGCCUGUGAGGGUUGCUGGAGGUAUCAGAAGUGCGAAUGCUGACAUAAGUAACGAUAAAGCGGGUGAAAAGCCCGCUCGCCGGAAGACCAAGGGUUCCUGUCCAACGUUAAUCGGGGCAGGGUGAGUCGACCCCUAAGGCGAGGCCGA
This 590-nucleotide ribosomal RNA is filed under the name Salmonella enterica subsp. enterica serovar Newport. RNAcentral describes it as "partial 23S ribosomal RNA". It matches the Rfam family "Bacterial large subunit ribosomal RNA", at positions 900 to 1405 of the family's 2925-position model. Lineage: Bacteria; Pseudomonadati; Pseudomonadota; Gammaproteobacteria; Enterobacterales; Enterobacteriaceae. The record is from RNAcentral.